This 107-nucleotide small nuclear RNA is filed under the name Prolemur simus (greater bamboo lemur). The record is from RNAcentral. Lineage: Eukaryota; Metazoa; Chordata; Mammalia; Primates; Lemuridae.
AUGCUUGCUUCAGCAGCACAUAUACUAAAAUUGGAAUGAUACAGACAAGAUUAGCAUGGCCCCUGUGCAAGGAUGACAUGCAAAUUCAUGAAGCAUUCCAUAUUUUU